RNAcentral lists this unclassified non-coding RNA (507 nucleotides) under leaf metagenome. Its description in RNAcentral is "partial contains internal transcribed spacer 1, 5.8S ribosomal RNA, and internal transcribed spacer 2". The stretch from base 192 to 345 matches the Rfam family "5.8S ribosomal RNA". The record is from RNAcentral.
CAGCGGAGGGAUCAUUGCUGGAACGCGCCCUAGGCGCACCCAGAAACCCUUUGUGAACUUAUACCUUACUGUUGCCUCGGCGCAUGCUGGCCCCCUCGGGGUCCCCUGGAGACAGGGAGCAGGCACGCCGGCGGCCAAGUUAACUCUUGUUUUUACACUGAAACUCUGAGAAAAAAACACAAAUGAAUCAAAACUUUCAACAACGGAUCUCUUGGUUCUGGCAUCGAUGAAGAACGCAGCGAAAUGCGAUAAGUAAUGUGAAUUGCAGAAUUCAGUGAAUCAUCGAAUCUUUGAACGCACAUUGCGCCCUCUGGUAUUCCGGAGGGCAUGCCUGUUCGAGCGUCAUUUCAACCCUCAAGCAUUGCUUGGUGUUGGGGCACUGCUUUUUACCAAGCAGGCCCUGAAAUCUAGUGGCGAGCUCGCCAGGACCCCGAGCGUAGUAGUUAAACCCUCGCUCUGGAAGGCCCUGGCGGUGCCCUGCCGUUAAACCCCCAACUUCUGAAAAUU